Molecule: ribosomal RNA, 465 nt
Filed under: uncultured bacterium
Lineage: Bacteria
Description: bacterial SSU rRNA
Rfam family: Bacterial small subunit ribosomal RNA
Source: RNAcentral
GAUGAACGCUGGCGGCGUGCUUAACACAUGCAAGUCGAACGGAGUUUUAGUAAAUGAUUGAUUUAGCUUGCUAUUGAGAGAUUUUGCUAAAACUUAGUGGCGGACGGGUGAGUAACGCGUGGGUAACCUGCCGUAUACAGGGGGACAACAGUUGGAAACGACUGCUAAUACCGCAUAAGCGCACAGUACUGCAUGGUACAGUGUGAAAAACUCCGGUGGUAUACGAUGGACCCGCGUCUGAUUAGCUGGUUGGUGAGGUAACGGCCCACCAAGGCGACGAUCAGUAGCCGGUCUGAGAGGAUGAACGGCCACAUUUGGGACUGAGAUACGGCCCAGACUCCUACGGGAGGCAGCAGUGGGGAAUAUUGGGCAAUGGGGGAAACCCUGACCCAGCAACGCCGCGUGAAGGAAGAAGGCCUCGGUGUAACUCUUACUAGGACGGAAGAACGUAGACGGUACCGUCGG